Molecule: ribosomal RNA, 350 nt
Filed under: Aspergillus sp.
Lineage: Eukaryota; Fungi; Ascomycota; Eurotiomycetes; Eurotiales; Aspergillaceae
Description: partial 18S ribosomal RNA
Rfam family: 5.8S ribosomal RNA (bases 198-350)
Source: RNAcentral
AAGGAUCAUUACCGAGUGCGGGUCCUUUGGGCCCAACCUCCCAUCCGUGUCUAUUGUACCCUGUUGCUUCGGCGGGCCCGCCGCUUGUCGGCCGCCGGGGGGGCGCCUCUGCCCCCCGGGCCCGUGCCCGCCGGAGACCCCAACACGAACACUGUCUGAAAGCGUGCAGUCUGAGUUGAUUGAAUGCAAUCAGUUAAAACUUUCAACAAUGGAUCUCUUGGUUCCGGCAUCGAUGAAGAACGCAGCGAAAUGCGAUAACUAAUGUGAAUUGCAGAAUUCAGUGAAUCAUCGAGUCUUUGAACGCACAUUGCGCCCCCUGGUAUUCCGGGGGGCAUGCCUGUCCGAGCGUC